CGUCCUCCCAUCUUCACGCUAUCACACUGUGACCCAGUGAAUUCGAACUUGUGAAGUUCCAUUCGGGGGAUCAUAUGGGAAGGGCUUCACACCCAGACAUAGAUUAUAGAUGGGAAGUGGGCCACAUGGUGUCAGUGAGGCAAGUAUGGGUCGUUUAGGGACAAUGCACUGUCAGAUCUUUGUUGACCAUGAUUAGAGAAACUGUGCAUAUUAGUAGUGAAUUAAUGUCAGGAAUAUCUGACAAAUCCUGGAAAAGAAGAUUGAUGAGAGGAAAUGUGUUCUGCCCAACUGUAUAAUGCAUUUGAAGCUUAAAACAAUGAAUCAGUAUUGAUCUGGCCACAAAAUAUUAAUGAUUUGAAUUAAAAAGAAAAGUUUAGAAAAUGAUAGCUUUGACAAAUUAAGGUAGCAUUUCAUCCACACGAUGGAGUGUGUUUUAUUCAGUAAUUGAUUUAAAAAUGGAAUCAACCUAAGUGUCUAACAGGAGGGAGUUUUAUAAAUUGUUCACAGAACAUCUGUUCCAAGGAGACCUUGAUGUUCAUAGAUUUGUAAAGAAUGCUGCUUACUAGCACACUGACUGCUCUGCAAAUGUCUGAGGGUUCCUCCACUUGGGGCAAGUUGGGGGUUUGAUCGCAGAGUAAAUAAAUGGUGCAUUUUAUAAUGUAAUAUAUUCUAGCAAGAUGCAGCCCACAAACUGUAUAGAUACUCUUAUGUACCACAUAAAGUUCAU
Molecule: long non-coding RNA, 727 nt
Filed under: Homo sapiens (human)
Lineage: Eukaryota; Metazoa; Chordata; Mammalia; Primates; Hominidae
Description: HSALNT0131814
Source: RNAcentral